RNAcentral lists this ribosomal RNA (539 nucleotides) under uncultured bacterium. RNAcentral's name for it is "bacterial SSU rRNA". It matches the Rfam family "Bacterial small subunit ribosomal RNA", at positions 569 to 1116 of the family's 1533-position model. The record is from RNAcentral.
GCGGCAGCCGUCUUUAGUCUGAUGUGAAGCCCACGACUCAUCGUGGAGGGUCAUGAAACUGGGAGACUGAGUACAGAGAGAAAGCAGAAUCACGUGUAGCGUGAUAUGCGUAGAGAUGUGAAGGAACACCAGUGGCGAAGCGGCUUCUGAUCUGUAACUGACGCUGAGGCGCGAAAGCGUGGAGAGCAAACAGGAAUUAGAUACCCUGGAUAGUCACGCCGUAAACGAUGAGUGCUAAGUGUUAGGGGAGUUUCCGCCCCUUAGUGCUGCAGCUAACGCAUUAAGCACUCCGCCUGGGGAGUACGGCCGCAAGGCUGAAACUCAAAGAAAUUGACGGGGACCCGCACAAGCGGUGGAGCAUGUGGUUUAAUUCGAAGCAACGCGAAGAACCUUACCAGGUCUUGACAUCCCACUGCCCGGUGUAGAGAUACACCUUUCCCUUCGGGGACAGUGGUGACAGGUGGUGCAUGGUUGUCGUCAGCUCGUGUCGUGAGAUGUUGGGUUAAGUCCCGCAACGAGCGCAACCCUUGAUCUUAGUU